Molecule: small RNA, 28 nt
Filed under: Bombyx mori (domestic silkworm)
Lineage: Eukaryota; Metazoa; Arthropoda; Insecta; Lepidoptera; Bombycidae
Description: ovarian small RNA-20029
Source: RNAcentral
UACAAAUCACUUGGCCUCUAGACUUGAC